Molecule: ribosomal RNA, 492 nt
Filed under: uncultured bacterium
Lineage: Bacteria
Description: partial 16S ribosomal RNA
Rfam family: Bacterial small subunit ribosomal RNA
Source: RNAcentral
AGUGAACGCUGGCGGUAGGCCUAACACAUGCAAGUCGAACGGCAGCACAGUAAGAGCUUGCUCUUACGGGUGGCGAGUGGCGGACGGGUGAGGAAUACAUCGGAAUCUACUUUUUCGUGGGGGAUAACGUAGGGAAACUUACGCUAAUACCGCAUACGACCUACGGGUGAAAGCAGGGGAUCUUCGGACCUUGCGCGAUUGAAUGAGCCGAUGUCGGAUUAGCUAGUUGGCGGGGUAAAGGCCCACCAAGGCGACGAUCCGUAGCUGGUCUGAGAGGAUGAAGAGCCCAACUGGAAAUGAGACACGGUCCAGACACCUACGGGAGGCCGCAAUGGGGAAUAUUGGACAAUGGGCGCAAGCCUGAUCCAGUCAUACCGCGUGGGUGAAGAAGGCCUUCGGGUUGUAAAGCCCUUUUGUUGAGAAAGAAAAGCAGCAGGUUAAUACCCCGCUGUUCUGACGGUACCCAAAGAAUAAGCACCGGCUAACUUCGUG